RNAcentral lists this ribosomal RNA (382 nucleotides) under uncultured eukaryote. RNAcentral's name for it is "partial 18S ribosomal RNA". It matches the Rfam family "Eukaryotic small subunit ribosomal RNA", at positions 592 to 976 of the family's 1831-position model. The record is from RNAcentral.
UGUAAGCGUAUACCAAAGUUGUUGCAGUUAAAACGCUCGUAGUCGGAAUUUGGCAGUUCCGGAUGUGUGCACGUCGUGUGCGCACUUCGCGGGGAUUGCUUUUGUGGUCUUGCGUAGGAUGAGGCACUUUUAUUAGUGAACGUCCUCACGCAACCACUUUUUACUGUGAGAAAAUCAGAGUGCUCAAAGCAGGCAUUUGCCGUGAAUGUAUUAGCAUGGAAGAAUAGAAUAGGACUUGGUUCUAUUUUGUUGGUUUGUUGGGACUGAGUAAUGAUUAAGAGGGACAGUUGGGGGCAUUUGUAUUUCGGUGCUAGAGGUGAAAUUCUUAGAUUACCGAAAGACAAACUGCUGCGAAAGCGUCUGCCAAGGAUGUUUUCAUUGA